This 6545-nucleotide long non-coding RNA is filed under the name Vitis vinifera (wine grape). RNAcentral's name for it is "long non-coding RNA (VVIN_LNC000939)". The record is from RNAcentral. Lineage: Eukaryota; Viridiplantae; Streptophyta; Magnoliopsida; Vitales; Vitaceae.
GGGUAUGAUGCAGUCUAUGGAAGCACUAAAAAACAAGGGGAUGCUAGUCCAAUUGCUGGCUAUGAUGCAGUCUAUGGAAGCACUCAAAAACAAGGGGAUGCUAGUCCAAUUGCUGGAUAUGAUGCAGUCUAUGGAACCUCUCAAAAAGCAGAAGGAAGUUCCAUCAAUGUUCACAAGGAUGCUAGCUCAAUUGCCGGAUAUGAUGCAGUCUAUGGAAACUCUCAACAAAAAGCAGGAGGAAGUUCUAUCAAUGCUUACAAAGAUUCUAGCCCAGUUGCGGGGUAUGAUGCAGUUAAUGUGUUUUUGGAAAAAGACCUGCAUCCUGGGACAAAAAUGGCGGUGCGCUUCACAAAAACCUCAAGUGCAGCUCAUUUCUUGCCCCAUCAAGUUGCUGAAUCCAUACCUUUUUCAUCAAACAAGCUACCAGAAAUUUUGAAGCGAUUCUCCGUGAAAGAAAACUCCGCAGAAGCCCAGAUAAUACAGAAAACAAUAAAACAAUGUGAGACGCCUGCCAUAGUAGGAGAAGUUAAGUACUGUGCGAGGUCCUUGGAGUCCCUAAUUGAUUUCAGCACUUCAAGGCUGGGAAAAAACAUUCGAGUUCUCUCCAAUGAGGUGGAAGCGGAUAUCCAGGAGUAUAAAUUUGGAGAGGGAGUGAAGAUGGUGGGAGAGAAAUCAGUGGUGUGCCACCAGCUGAACUAUCCAUAUGCUGUGGCAUUCUGCCAUACACUUCACAUGACAAAGAUUUACAUGGUUCCAUUGGUGGGUGCUGAUGGAACCGGAGUUGAAGCUGUAGCAGUUUGUCACCGGGACACGUCAACUUGGGACCCAAAGGCUUUGGUCUUUCAAAGCCUCAAAGUUAAGCCAGGAACUUUGCCCAUCUGCCAUUUCCUUCCCAAUGGUCAUACUGUCUGGGUUCCAAAGUAGGUAGAGAUCCGCAGAAAGCCUCCAACCCAAUUGCUGGCUUGCAGUUUCUGUAAUAUAUUGUGUGCUUUGAAUAACUGCUAGGGUUGAGGAAUGUGUGUCCUAACUCCUAUGUGUAAUAUUAUUCAGUAACGAGUGACUCUCUCCUUGGUUAUUUAUUUUUUCGGGUUUAUUUCAUUACCUUCUUUCGAUUAAGUACAUCUAGCAACCACGCUUUUUAAAAAAUAAAACCAUGAUAUAUAAAAGUGUUAAAUAUAUAAUAUAAGCAAAUUCGUCUUCUAUCUUAUAUUAAAAUGAAUGAAAAAGGUUACAACGAUGAAACUCUCGAAAAACACUUUUCAAUUACAACCACACUUUUUAAAAAAUAAAACCCUAAUAUAUAAAAUGGUCAAAUAUAUAAUAGGAACAAAUUCGUCAUUUAUCAUAUAAAAAAAGAUUCUCCAAAUACCCCAGUAAAAGAGCAACAAUAACUUAAAAUUGUUUUUAUUCAAGUAUAUGGUUGUAGUAAAAUUGUUUAUGUUAUUCUAUAGUUUGUUGUUGUGUAAGAGGAAUAUUAAUAACAACUAGUUUCAAACAUAAUACUGAAGAUCAUAUUGCCAUUUUUUUUUUCAUGUUGAAGAUAUAAUAUAAUUAUUAAACAAAAUGGGGUGACUUUGAUUUAAAGUAUUUAAUUUUAAGUUAAUAAUUUUAGAAAUAACAUUUUGAAUAAGUAUAAACAUGAAAUAAUCCAAUAAAACUAAGACUUGAUAUAUAAAUUCUAAGAAUAAAAUAUUAUGCUCGUUUAACAUAAAUGUUAAAAUUUUAAUUUGAUAUUUAAAUUUAUAAAUAAAAAUGGAAUUAAUAAAAAUAAAUUGAAAUGAUUUUAAUGAAUAUAAAAUAAACAUUAUUUAAUUUAAUUUUAGUAUAUGAAAGAUAAAAAUUAAUAUAUAUAUAUAUAUAUAUAUAUAUAUAGAAAACAAUAAAACAAUGUGAGACGCCUGCCAUAGUAGGAGAAGUUGAGUACUGUGCGAGGUCCUUGGAGUCCCUAAUUGAUUUCAGCACUUCAAGGCUGGGAAAAAAUUUGGAGAGGGAGUGAAGAUGGUGGGAGAGAAAUCAGUGGUGUGCCACCAGCUGAACUAUCCAUAUGCUGUGGCAUUCUGCCAUACACUUCACAUGACAAAGAUUUACAUGGUUCCAUCGGUGGGUGCUGAUGGAACCGGAGUUGAAGCUGUAGCAGUUUGUCACCGGGACACUUCAACUUGGGACCCAAAGGCUUUGGUCUUUCAAAGGCUCAAAGUUAAGCCAGGAACUUUGCCCAUCUGCCAUUUCCUUCCCAAUGGUCAUAUUGUCUGAGUUCCAAAGUAGGCAGAGAUCCGCAGAAAGCCUCAAACCCAAUUUCUGGCUUGCAGUUUCUGUAACAUAUUGUGUGCUAUUUGAAUAACGGCAAGGGUUGAGGAAUAUGCAUCCCAACUCCUAUGUGUAAUAUUAUUCAGUAACGAGUGACUUUCUCCUUGAUUAUUUAUUUUUUCAAGUUAAUUUCAUUGACCUUCUCUCAACUACGUACAUCUAACUCUCAUAAUUUUAAAAUUUCAUUAAAUAUUAGGCUUAUUCUUUUCAUUUCUUAUUUUCACUUAUUACCUAUUUAAUUCAAAAUAAAGGAAAUGUACCAUGAAAAUUUAAAUUUACAAGAAUUAAAUAUAUUUAAUCAAAAUCUUAAAAAUGGUGAAUGAAAUUAACUUUUAUUUUUUUGUUAAUAUUAUCUAUUGCAAAUAAAAGGAAACAGUGACCAGAAGAAUAGUGACAAUACUUACUAUAAUCAUUUUAUUUCAGUAAUAAUAAAAGCAAAAAUUUCAUUAUUUAAUUACCUCAACAAUAAUCAUGUCACAAUUAUUCAAAGAAUAUAGUCCCGGAACAAUACUGAAAAUUAUUAUUAUUAUUAUUUUAUUUGAAUGAUAGUAAAAAUAUGACAUUUAUCUCUUUUUGUUUUACCUACUUAAUUUCCAAACCCAUCCAUUUUUUUUCCUUCGAGUUUUCUAUUUUUAUUUAUUUUUAUAUUUUAUAAAAGAUUUUUCAAAUGAUCAAAUUUUUAAAUAAAUAUUAGUUUGAUUGUGGUUAUCAAUUUUCUUGCUAUACAAAGAAAAACACCAAAUCAAACGGUAUUUGAUGUUUUAAACUCUUUAACAAAUCUAAUAACUUUUAAAAAUAAUUUAGAAACCAAUUAAUACCUAUUGCAACCUAAAAAUGUGCUAUCCAUGUUGACAAUUUAUUACCCCAUUUCCAAUUGUAGUUGUAGAUGAGGGAGAUAAUUUUCCUGAUGAGGGCAUUAUUAUAAACAUUAUUACGAUGGUAUGGCAAAGUGAAGGAUGCAUUAUGAUGGAGCUUCCAACAAUCGAGAACAUGUUGUUGAUGUAUUUUAGUUAUUUCUCUUCUAGGUGAUCACAUUCCUAAUCAAUUAUAUAAUCAUAAUGAUUGAAAUCGAUGCAAUCGAAGCAUUAAAAAACCAAUGUGAAGGAACGAGUCUUAAGUACAAAUAAAUGGAAUCACUUAUAAAAAUUAAGAAUAUAAAAAAUAAUAUUUAAAUUUAAAAAUGUAUUAAUAAUAUAAUAAAUUAUUAUCAAAUAUAAAGAUAUAUGAUCUCCAUCACAUUUUUCAACUGCCGUCCAACUUGGCAGCCAAUGUCGCUACCCUCCUUUCAACCUCUUCCAUGAUGACCUCAUUAGUCUAGAUCUUUCGGAGAUAGUCUGCAUAGGUCCGAUGGAAUCAAUAGUUUGGUUCUAAUAAGUUUGGUUCAGUUUGGUUCUUUCUUUAGAGAGCAAUGAGAAUAUACCCUGUCGACAAUAAUGUCGGUUUCCCAUCGGAAUGAGUUUGUAGAGGAGAAAAAAAGGGUAGCUUUAGCACAAAAUUCAUAUUACUGUAUGUGACAGAAAUAACUUUAAAAUAUACCAAGUGGGGAUUAAAAUUUGUUCAUUAUUUAAAAAGAAAUGUAUAAGAAUACUAUCUAAUUCUCCGGGAUUAAGAUUCCAAUCAAUCAGCCAAUUCCAUUGGAAAGCAUCUAUCAAAUUGAUAAAGCCGAUGAACAACCUCUCACACAGGAUAUUGUCUUAAAUUUCAAUUAGAUAACGACGAUGCGACAACCUCUCACACACGAAUGCCUUACGUAGUAGUUUAAUGGAAUUAGCUUUGUCUGUGCCUAUGCCACCAGCAUUUUAAUUAAUGCUUGUGGGACAUGAGUGAGAGAAGAAAUCAACAAUAAAUAGGAAGCCAUGCACUUCCCUCCUUUCCAUUCUGGGUUCUAGGCGGCUAGCUUUGUACGAGUUGGAGUAGUUUCAGAGCUUUAAUGGAGUUUCAUCUCCUUCCCAUUCUGACUUCUUUCUUGGUGAGCCUUCACUUCCACCUUUUCUUGAACACUUCGUUUUUAUAUUUCAUGGAAUAUAACUUACAUAUAUGGCAUGAAGUACUUGUGGCAGCUGGUGGUGGUCAGCCAUGCUUAUUCUCUACCUUCCGAGGUUGAUUGGAUGUCGGGUUUGCCUAACACUCCCUUCCCGAAAGCUAUGCGGAAUCUCUUAAUGCAGCCUGGUUGGUUUCCAACUUCCUCUUUUGUUGGCUCAUAGUAAUAGUGUGUUGAAUAAUGUAUUUAUGAGAAUCAUCUAUCAAAUAUUUCUUCGGAAAAUAUUAUAAGUAUUUUUUCAAUGAUGAUUUUUCAUAUUUUUAAAGAUAUUUCCUAAAAUUUUAUCAAAUAUCAAAUGAGUUCUAAACCUGUUUGAGAACUAUUGCUAGUUUGAAUGACCAUAAUAGACUAAAAAAUGACUUGAGUAGAGAUGAGAUUUAUUUAUUUUAAUAUUUAUGUCAAUUAUGGGGAUUAUAGGUAAUGACGAAUUUGAAAAAUAAAAUGUAACAUCGAGUAUAAAUGAGUUAUAAUCAUGUGAAAUUAUCAACAACCAUGUUUUGAUAAAAUAUUUGCUGCUUAAUGCAACAAAUUAAAUGGCCUUAAUUAGUUAUACCAUCAAUCAUGGGUUUAUGUGUGGCUUUAAGAAAAUAUGUGUCCUUAAUUAUUUCUCAAGUUAUUAUCCUCGUCAUCAUAAUUAACCUUUUAAAUUGUUGAAUUUGCAAACACAACAAAAGACGGAAGUUCUACCAAUGCUGACAAGACCAUCCCCACUGCUAAAUACGACACCCUUUAUGAAAACCCUCAAAAAGCAGCGAAAAGUUCUAUAAAUGCUCGCAAGAAUGCUAGCCAAAUUAAUCAAUACGAUUUAGUUCAUGAAAACCUUAGAAAGUUAAAUGAAAGCUCUAUCGAAUCUCCCAAGGAUGCUAGCUCACUUGUCGGAUAUGAUGCAAUCUAUGGAAACGCCAAAAAACAAGGAGAUGCUGUCCCAAUUACCGGAUCAUAUGAUGCAGUCUAUGGAAACCCCAAAAAACAAGGAGAUGCUACCCCCGGAUCAUAUGAUGCAGUCUAUGGAAACCCCAACAAACAAGAAGAUGCCACCCCCGGGUCAUAUGAUGCAGUCUAUGGAAACCCCAACAAACAAGGAGAUGCUGCCCCAGUUACCGGAUCAUAUGAUGCAGUCUAUGGAAACCCCAAAAAACAAGGAGAUGCUGCCCCAGUUACCGGAUCAUAUGAUGCAGUCUAUGGAAACCCCACAAAACAAGGAGAUGCUUCCCCAGUUACCGGAUCAUAUGAUGCAGUCUAUGGAAACCCCAAAAAACAAGGAGAUGCUGUCCCAGUUACCGGAUCAUAUGAUGCAGUCUAUGGAAACCCCAAAAAACAAGGAGAUGCUGUCCCAGUUACCGGAUCAUAUGAUGCAGUCUAUGGAAACCCCACAAAACAAGGAGAUGCUUCCCCAGUUACCGGAUCAUAUGAUGCAGUCUAUGGAAACCCUAAAAAACAAGGAGAUGCUUCUCCAGUUACCGGAUCAUAUGAUGCAGUCUAUGGAAACCCCAAAAAACAAGGGGAUGCUACCCCAAUCACCGGAUCAUAUGAUGCAGUGUAUGGAAACCCUCAAAAAAUUGUAGGAAGUUCCAUUAAUGCUCAUAAGGAUGCCAGCCCAAUUGCCGGAUAUGAUGCAGUUUAUAGAAACCCUCAAAAAGCAGGAGGAAGUUCUAUUAAUGCUCAGAAGGAUGCUAGCUCAAUUGCCGGAUAUGAUGCAGUCUACGGAAGCGCUCAAAAAGUAGGUGAAAGUUCCAUCAAUGCCCACAAGGAUGCCAACUCAAUUGCCGGAUAUUAUGCAGCCUAUGGAAACCCUCGAGAUGCAGGUGAAAGUUCUAUUGAUGCUGGCAAGGCUAGCCCAACUGCCUCAUAUCGGACUGUUUACGGAAAUCCUCGAAAAGCAAGUGGAAGCACUGAUAUCAAUGCUGGUAAGCCUAGUAGAACUAUGCAAUACGAGAGGGUCUAUGGAAAUCCUCAAAAAGCAGGCGGAAGUUCUGUAAGCGCGGGCAAAAAUAGUCCAAACUUGCAACAAGGACACCAAGAUGGUACCAGUACAGGUAAUGUGUUCUUGGAAAAAGACCUGCAUCCUGGGACUAAAAUGAUGGUGCGCUUCACAAAAACCUCAAGUGCAGCUCAUUUCUUGCCCCAGCAAGUUGCUGAAUCCAUACCUUUUUCAUCAAACAAGCUACCAGAAAUUUUGAAUCAGUUCUCAGUGAAA